This is a long non-coding RNA of Ruditapes philippinarum (Manila clam), 1170 nucleotides long. RefSeq lists it as uncharacterized. The record is from RefSeq and is a predicted model, not a curated record. The transcript has 4 exons. Lineage: Eukaryota; Metazoa; Mollusca; Bivalvia; Venerida; Veneridae.
CAGGCACUCGACGUUGUUUCAACGUUGAAACAACGUUGAAAAAUGGUCGUGACGUUGUUCAACCAAUAUUCAACUAUGGACGGACAUACGGAUAUAUUGCCAAUGUAUAUACGACGUUGAUUCAACGUUGUUUAUGGUCGAAGUUUUACAUUUAGUUUAAUCAUUAUAUAAACCUUUAUACCACUAAUUUUGUGUUAUUUAAUAUUCCUUUAUUGAAUAAGUCUGUAAGUGAUUUUGUCAGGAAAAUUUGCGUUAAUUACAAUCUUUUUCCGUAUAUUCAAAAUUAGCGCUUAAACAAAUAAAGUUGGAAAUAAUUUUUCACUUUAUAUUAACGCUUUAAAUGUUAGUUAAUAUGUUUUGUUGUUUGUUGUUUUAUUUUUUAGUUCUUUAUGAAUAAUAUUAAUUAAUAAAUUGAUAUUAGUCAAAACCCCGUUUAUAAAAUAACGCUGGUCAGGGGAAGUAAUUAUUGCGGUCUAUGAUCUUGUUUGUUGGUCUAUGAUUAUCGUUCGUGCAAAUGGUGGCGCUGUUUGGAAAAUUUGAAAACAACACGAUUGGCAAUUUAUUUGGAUUUCGAAGAUCCUGGUCCUGGCUGAAAUUUAGAGUAUUGCAGCUGUAGUCUGUAUACCAUACACUCAACAUGAAAAGGACUGUCAGGAUGCUGCAUAGAAUGGUCUUAGCUAGAGCCUAGAAUGUUAAUUUUUUGGGAAUAUGCUGCAAGCUACUGACGGGGAGCAGUUUUUCUUACCAAUCAUAGAAGCAGUAAUAGACAGCCAAAGAAGUACUCAAACACCUGACAUACCCAGAAAGAUCUAGAAGAAAAGAUGGGCACAGAUUGUAGCUUAAUUGUAAAACUAUUAAAGUGAAUUUAAGCUGCACUUGAACUGUAUUUUUUAAAUAAAAUAUCUGAAGUAUUUAAUAUUGUCUUGAUAUUAUGUUAAACUCGGUAACUUUGCUUUAUAUCCAAAAAUUAAAGUAUGGUGGGUUUUCAACGUUGAAAUGACAUUGAAACGUCAACGUUGUACCAACGUUGAAGCUGCAACGUUGUAUCAACGUUGAAAUUUCAACGUUGUUUCAACUUUCAAAUCCGAAUAUAAAUCCAACCUUAUUUCAACGUUGAAAUCUGACCAUAAUUCAACGUUGAAACAACGUUGAUGUGCCUGCUGGGUUAUU